This 425-nucleotide ribosomal RNA is filed under the name uncultured bacterium. RNAcentral describes it as "partial 16S ribosomal RNA". It matches the Rfam family "Bacterial small subunit ribosomal RNA", at positions 354 to 796 of the family's 1533-position model. The record is from RNAcentral.
GUUAGGAAUAUUGGACAAUGGGCGCAAGCCUGAUCCAGCCAUGCCGCGUGAGUGAUGAAGGCCUUCGGGUUGUAAAGCUCUUUAGCCGAUGAUUAUAAUGACUGUAGUCGGAAAAUAAGCCCCGGCUAACUUCGUGCCAGCAGCCGCGGUAAUACGAAGGGGGCGAGCGUUAUUCGAAAUCACUGGGCGUAAAGCGUGCGUAGGCGGUUUUGUAAGUUAGGAGUGAAAGCCCAGGGCUCAACCCUGGAAUUGCUCUUAAAACUACAAGGCUAGAAUGUCGGAGAGGAUAGCGGAAUUUCCAGUGUAGCAGUGAAAUGCGUAGAUAUUGGAAGGAACACCAGUGGCGUAAGCGGCUAUCUGGACGACUAUUGACGCUGAGGCACGAAAGCGUGGGGAUCAAACAGGAUUAGAAACCCGGGUAGUCC